Molecule: ribosomal RNA, 269 nt
Filed under: uncultured prokaryote
Description: partial 16S ribosomal RNA
Rfam family: Bacterial small subunit ribosomal RNA
Source: RNAcentral
CAGCAGCCGCGGUAAUACGUAGGGUCCAAGCGUUGUCCGGAUUUAUUGGGCGUAAAGAGCUCGUAGGUGGUUCAGUAAGUCGGAUGUGAAAACUCGGGGCUCAACCCCGAGACGCCAUCCGAUACUGCUGUGACUUGAGUCUGGUAGGGGAGAUCGGAAUUCCUGGUGUAGCGGUGAAAUGCGCAGAUAUCAGGAGGAACACCGGUGGCGAAGGCGGAUCUCUGGGCCAGUACUGACACUGAGGAGCGAAAGCGUGGGUAGCAAACAGG